UGACUUAACGUACCGGAAUAAAGAAAGGCGGAUCGCAUGAUAAGCUUUUAAAAGGCGGCGUAAGCUGUCGCUAUGGGAUGGCCCCGCGGUGCAUUAGCUAGUUGGUAAGGUAAAGGCUUACCAAGGCGAUGAUGCAUAGCCGAGUUGAGAGACUGAUCGGCCACAUUGGGACUGAGACACGGCCCAAACUCCUACGGGAGGCAGCAGCG
RNAcentral lists this ribosomal RNA (209 nucleotides) under uncultured Lactobacillus sp. RNAcentral describes it as "partial 16S ribosomal RNA". It matches the Rfam family "Bacterial small subunit ribosomal RNA", at positions 154 to 356 of the family's 1533-position model. Lineage: Bacteria; Bacillati; Bacillota; Bacilli; Lactobacillales; Lactobacillaceae. The record is from RNAcentral.